GACGAAGGAUGCAAGCGUUAUCCGGAUUCAUUGGGUUUAAAGGGUGCGUAGGCGGACUGAUAAGUCAGUGGUGAAAUCUCUCAGCUUAACUGAGAAACUGCCAUUGAUACUGUUAGUCUAGAGUAUAGAUGACGUUGGCGGAAUAUGACAUGUAGUGGUGAAAUACUUAGAUAUGUCAUAGAACACCGAUUGCGAAGGCAGCUAACGAAACUAUAACUGACGCUGAGGCACGAAAGUGCGGGGAUCAAAC
Molecule: ribosomal RNA, 250 nt
Filed under: uncultured bacterium
Lineage: Bacteria
Description: partial 16S ribosomal RNA
Rfam family: Bacterial small subunit ribosomal RNA
Source: RNAcentral